RNAcentral lists this long non-coding RNA (226 nucleotides) under Elaeis guineensis (African oil palm). RNAcentral's name for it is "long non-coding RNA (EGUI_LNC051071)". The record is from RNAcentral. Lineage: Eukaryota; Viridiplantae; Streptophyta; Magnoliopsida; Arecales; Arecaceae.
UUGACCAAUGAAAGCUGAAUAUGCUAUAGAUGUAUAGGAUGCAUUUUGGUUCUUGUGAUAGUUGUAGAACUGAAUGUCAUACUAUUAGAUGCUAUGAUAUUGUACUACAAAGAUAAUGGUCCAUAGCCCUUACUAAGAAGCCAAGGUCUCACCAAAAGUCCAUGUACAUAGAGCAGAAAUAUACGUGAAUACCUCAAAUAGAAGUAUAUAAAGUAAACUCCACAUA